Long non-coding RNA from Dioscorea cayenensis subsp. rotundata (Guinea yam), 1098 nucleotides. RefSeq lists it as uncharacterized. The record is from RefSeq and is a predicted model, not a curated record. Lineage: Eukaryota; Viridiplantae; Streptophyta; Magnoliopsida; Dioscoreales; Dioscoreaceae. The transcript has 5 exons.
UUGCUCCAACGUCUAUUUUACUGGCUUCCUUUUCGUUCAUUCUCCUAGAUCGUCUCCGCGCUGCCCUGCCGAGGUUCCGAGGCAGUGAAAUGAUCUUCAUCACGGGUUCCUUCUUGGAAAAUCAGGUUUCUCAAGAUUUGCAUGAUUUCUUCAGGAGAAAUAAUGGGUUUAGGGUUUGAUCAAGAGUGGGAUGCUUUCUUGAAAUGAUCGGAUUCUCUGUGUGGUUGUUCUGAAGCCACAGAUCACACCCUUUUCAUAGCGCGGAACCCUUUUCUUUAAGACUUGACCUGGGAUGCCUUCCUCAAGUGAAUGCUCGUAGUGUGAGAAGGAAGGCAGGAUUUCAAUUUAUGUGUGAUAAGGUCUGCAUACUUCUAUGAUUUUCAGGUCAACAAUAGCAUACAGGCAAGUCCUUGGCCGUGGAUUCUGCCCCAGGGAGCCGGUUCAACUCCCUCCUGAGAUAAGGCCAAGUCAAAAACAAAGGCGAUGCAAAGGCUUCCCCAAAUUUCAGAAGCAUUGCAGACAAAAGGGAAUUGAACGGAAAAUAUCUCGAGAUCCUUGACCCAUUCUUUGUGGGAUAUAUCAUCUUCAAGGAAUAGGAAAAGGCAUGGAUUGCAUCCAGUGGCAUACAAGCUUUUAGAUGCUACUCCUACUCCUACUCUUGUGGAACUACGAAGGUAUCGUUAACUUAUGACUCGUUAUAUAAAUAUAGAGGUUUAAUAAAUUGUUUCCCACAAAAUAGCUUUUCUUCUUUGAUAAAUAGCCUCUUUUUAGUUGAUUGAACUAGAAAGUAUGUUUUUGGUCUUGGUCACAAGCAGUUUCAAUAGGUGCUCUAGAUUAAUUUACCAUUGUAUAAACACAAAAGGAAGUAUCUUCCUGUAAAAUAAAUGGUUUGAGUGCAGUCUUCUUUUGGAAAACAACUUAGAACCUGCCUCCUCUGAAAGUUAUUUAUCAUCUACGUGGCCCUGGCUUCCUAGGCAUGUGUAUUGAGGUACACAGAGAUGUGGUUUGCAUGGCCAUCAAGAGAGAAGGUUUUCUUGAUAGGUUAAAUGAAGGUUUAGGGUCUUGUAGGGCUUUCUUUCUAGUUUCUACCUGUUUUAU